UCCGAAGGGGGCUAGCGUUGUUCGGAUUUACUGGGCGUAAAGGGCGCGUAGGCGGCGCAUCAAGUCAGGCGUGAAAGCCCCGGGCUUAACCUGGGAAUUGCGCUUGAUACUGAUGUGCUAGAGAGCGGGAGAGGAUGGCGGAAUUCCCAGUGUAGAGGUGAAAUUCGUAGAUAUUGGGAAGAACACCGGUGGCGAAGGCGGCCAUCUGGACCGUUUCUGACGCUGAGGCGCGAAAGCGUGGGGAGCAAACAGG
RNAcentral lists this ribosomal RNA (253 nucleotides) under uncultured bacterium. RNAcentral's name for it is "partial 16S ribosomal RNA". It matches the Rfam family "Bacterial small subunit ribosomal RNA", at positions 524 to 776 of the family's 1533-position model. The record is from RNAcentral.